AGUCGUAACAAGGUAUCCGUAGGUGAACCUGCGGAUGGAUCAUUACCAAAGGAUUUUUCCUAACGUAUUGUGAACUGUAUUGAAUGCACAGUCAGUGGCUGUGUGUUGUGUUUUAGGGAGUUAUUGGUGUUACUGUAGUGGGGCUAAACUUAUUACAGAUAGCAGUGGUUUCGAUCUAUUACACUACGCACUGUCGCUGGCUGUAUACUAAACGUAUUUACUUCAAAAACUGACGUCUGCUUUAGCUUAAUAAACUAAAGACAACUUUUAGCAAUGGAUCUCUUGGCUCUC
Molecule: unclassified non-coding RNA, 291 nt
Filed under: fungal sp.
Lineage: Eukaryota; Fungi
Description: partial internal transcribed spacer region
Rfam family: Eukaryotic small subunit ribosomal RNA (bases 1-45)
Source: RNAcentral